UGGGGAAUUUUGGACAAUGGGCGAAAGCCUGAUCCAGCAAUGCCGCGUGUGUGAAGAAGGCCUUCGGGUUGUAAAGCACUUUUGUCCGGAAAGAAAUCCUUGGCUCUAAUACAGUCGGGGGAUGACGGUACCGGAAGAAUAAGCACCGGCUAACUACGUGCCAGCAGCCGCGGUAAUACGUAGGGUGCAAGCGUUAAUCGGAAUUACUGGGCGUAAAGCGUGCGCAGGCGGUUUGCUAAGACCGAUGUGAAAUCCCCGGGCUCAACCUGGGAACUGCAUUGGUGACUGGCAGGCUAGAGUAUGGCAGAGGGGGGUAGAAUUCCACGUGUAGCAGUGAAAUGCGUAGAGAUGUGGAGGAAUACCGAUGGCGAAGGCAGCCCCCUGGGCCAAUACUGACGCUCAUGCACGAAAGCGUGGGGAGCAAACAGGAUUAGAUACCCUGGUAGUCCACACCCUAAACGAUGUCAACUAGUUGUUGGGGAUUCAUUUCCUUAGUAACGUAGCUAACGCGUGAAGUUGACCGCCUGGGGAGUACGGUCGCAAGAUUAAAACUCAAAUGAAUUGAC
RNAcentral lists this ribosomal RNA (566 nucleotides) under uncultured bacterium. RNAcentral describes it as "partial 16S ribosomal RNA". It matches the Rfam family "Bacterial small subunit ribosomal RNA", at positions 355 to 914 of the family's 1533-position model. The record is from RNAcentral.